This 248-nucleotide unclassified non-coding RNA is filed under the name Hevea brasiliensis (rubber tree). The record is from RNAcentral. Lineage: Eukaryota; Viridiplantae; Streptophyta; Magnoliopsida; Malpighiales; Euphorbiaceae.
UGCAUUUCUUGAAAGGUGGGUGCAAUGGGAUGGUAGCUUGGGGCUUAAACUCUGUAUUGAAUGGCGUGAUUCUGCUGUUGUUUUUGAGGUUUUACGUGAAGUUACAUUUGAUAAAGAGGAAGGCCAGCAUGGUGAGUGAAUUCGAGGGUUCUUAUUCGCUGCAUGUGCACUCUGCUUCGGAGAUAAGGAAUGAAAAAGCGAGUUGAUGAGUUCACCUGAACUAGGUUCUCCUUCCAAGUUCCCCCCAC